RNAcentral lists this unclassified non-coding RNA (296 nucleotides) under uncultured fungus. RNAcentral describes it as "sequence contains ITS1". The stretch from base 1 to 105 matches the Rfam family "5.8S ribosomal RNA", at positions 50 to 154 of the family's 154-position model. The record is from RNAcentral. Lineage: Eukaryota; Fungi.
GAAAUGCGAUAAGUAGUGUGAAUUGCAGAAUUCAGUGAAUCAUCGAAUCUUUGAACGCACAUUGCGCCCUUUGGUAUUCCAAAGGGCAUGCCUGUUCGAGCGUCAUUUGUACCCUCAAGCUUUGCUUGGUGUUGGGCGUCUUGUCGUAUUACGACUCGCCUUAAAGUCAUUGGCAGCCGGCCUACUGGUUUCGGAGCGCAGCACAAGUCGCACUCUUUUCCAGCCAAGGUCAGCGUCCAACAAGCCUUUUUUCAACUUUUGACCUCGGAUCAGGUAGGGAUACCCGCUGAACUUAA